Esox lucius (northern pike) is the source of this 460-nucleotide long non-coding RNA. RefSeq lists it as uncharacterized. NCBI's taxonomy places the organism in Eukaryota, Metazoa, Chordata, Actinopteri, Esociformes, Esocidae. The transcript is spliced from 3 exons. The record is from RefSeq and is a predicted model, not a curated record.
CAAGGACAGACCCCUGCGGGACACCAACUCCAGAGUCUGAACAGGGAGAUUUGACACCAUCUACUACCACAUACUGUUUCCUGUGGGACAGGGCACUAUCGGUGGAGUGAUGGGUCCGAAAACCGAACUGUAAUGGAUGUAGUGAAGCCGCCUAUGGUCGUCUUUGGAAAAUGCCCCCCCUCCCCAAAGAGCCUCUUUGGGAUAGCGCAACACUCCAGAGGGUGUCAAGAUGGAGGAACUAAAGGUGGAGGCGGUGAGGUCAUUAGCAGUCCCGAAAACCAGGAACUGCAGAGCUUCAUCCGGUUUGCCAAUUUCAGUAACAGGGAGAUUAACACUAGAGCCGCAAGGCCUUCAGACCCCCAGUAUCUGCAAGAGCCGAACACUGUUUCACGUCAUUAGCAUAUGAAUCGUCCCUAUUAGCAUACACAUUCUCCUCUGCAGCAUCACCAUCCAGCCUGAG